GAUUCGUCACACUAUCAUUAACUGAAUCCAUAGGUUAAUGAGGCGAACCGGGGGAACUGAAACAUCUAAGUACCCCGAGGAAAAGAAAUCAACCGAGAUUCCCCCAGUAGCGGCGAGCGAACGGGGAGGAGCCCAGAGCCUGAAUCAGCAUGUGUGUUAGUGGAAGCGUCUGGAAAGGCGCGCGAUACAGGGUGACAGCCCCGUACACAAAAGCGCAUGUGCUGUGAGCUCGAUGAGUAGGGCGGGACACGUGGUAUCCUGUCUGAAUAUGGGGGGACCAUCCUCCAAGGCUAAAUACUCCUGACUGACCGAUAGUGAACCAGUACCGUGAGGGAAAGGCGAAAAGAACCCCGGCGAGGGGAGUGAAAAAGAACCUGAAACCGUGUACGUACAAGCAGUGGGAGCACCCUUCGGGGUGUGACUGCGUACCUUUUGUAUAAUGGGUCAGCGACUUAUAUUCUGUA
Molecule: ribosomal RNA, 464 nt
Filed under: Salmonella enterica
Lineage: Bacteria; Pseudomonadati; Pseudomonadota; Gammaproteobacteria; Enterobacterales; Enterobacteriaceae
Also listed under: 1 other name
Description: partial 23S ribosomal RNA
Rfam family: Bacterial large subunit ribosomal RNA
Source: RNAcentral